This is a long non-coding RNA of Dama dama (fallow deer), 534 nucleotides long. RefSeq lists it as uncharacterized. The transcript has 3 exons. The record is from RefSeq and is a predicted model, not a curated record. NCBI's taxonomy places the organism in Eukaryota, Metazoa, Chordata, Mammalia, Artiodactyla, Cervidae.
CAGGGACUUCUUUUCAGUUGUUUUUUUCCUCUAUGUGAUGUCGUUCGUUUUUUAUGAACAUCGCACUUAUCUGAUGUCACAGGUUGGGGGAAUCCAAACCACAGACACAAAUACGCCGUGUUAUUCUUUGAAGGAUUGUGCGACCCCUGAUUUUAUUGGGAUGGCAGCCAGCCAGCUAAAAGUGCUCAGCCUCCUAAAGUCCCUCUGACAGCCAGGAGUGGCCACGUGAUCCAGUGUAGGUAUGAGCUGGAGAUAGAAUGGCCACGUCGCAACCAUGACCAACCAUGAGGAGGACAAAAUCCACAUGUACAAGAAGGCCAAGCCAAAAAACAGAAAAGAACCUGGGCCCCUAGUGGCAUCACUGAGGCAUCCUAUCAGCCCAAGAUGCUUACUGCAGGACUUAGUAACAGGAGAUGAUAGAAACUUACCAGUGGUGAGAUUGGUGUUACUUGCAGCAGAAUGCAUGUCUGCUGGAUCCACCCCCUGCCUCUGGAUUUCUAAACGCAUGAGAAAAUACAUUUCCUUAAUAAUUAA